GAUAGAUUGAUGAAUAUUUGUCAAUAUUUCUGCUAGAGAAUUUAUUUUUUUAUGCAUUUUAUUUUUCUUGUUUAAUGCAUAACAUGUUCAGGCAUGUAAAGUAUAAUUAUUUUUGUAUAAAUGUAUUUAAUUUUGUUGCGAAACAGAAUUAACUAUUUAACCAGUGUGUCGAUGAUUUGCUGACGUCACUUGUGCGCCAGCUCGUGGUGAGAGAGAUGCGAGCCGCAUUUCGGCUGCUGCUUAAUCUUUUCCAUCCUCGCCAUUUCUUCUUUAGAUGAAUGCCUGAACUGUUUUGUUGCAUAAGUGAUCAUUGGAUGCCAUGUGUGCUUGAUGAGAUGAGACAGGGGUAACUGCAGCCUGGAGCAAUGGGCGUGCCGAAAGGUAGGGGCGUGCCAAAAGGUUUCUGAUUGGUGAAAGGAGUUUUACUGUAUUGGCCAAUCAGCUUUAAACUUUUGUUCCACACUCCAGUCCAGCAGGUGGCGGUAAAGCACUUAUCAGUUGGUUUGCUAACCGCCAAACAUUAAGAGGAAGAAGACCAAUCAGCAUUAAACCUAAGUAAUUUCCUUUAGGCAAGAGAAGAUGGCGGUGACACAUGUUACAGUGAGAAAAAUCGAUGAACGCAUGUGCAUCGAAGGCGAAGAAUUCAGAGUUGGAAGUUUGUAUCGUUGUCCUUUUUGUCCAACUAGUGUUUUUAAACCACGGGAGAGACACAAGGUGUUCACUCAUUUACAAAGCCACAGAUUUCGAGCGGUUCAUCAUGAACGUAAGUACAAGUUUCGUUUUCCUAUGCAUGUUACAUAAAGGAUAAUUUGGGUAAUUUCGUGUCAAAUCAACAAAACUGUUCAAUUUUUAUUUAUUUAUUUAUUUUUUAUUUUUUUGAAGAAAGACAAACAUAAACAUUGAUAAAAAUCAAAGCCAAAAAUAUUAAAUAUAAUUGAUGCAUAUUUACAGUGAAAUUCAGUAUUUGUAGAUGGGGUCUAAAUUACAAUUUUCCUGUAAUUCUGAGCCAAAAAAGGGUAAGUGAGUUUAGAAAGAUGACAGAUUAAUUUCGUUUUUUGGGGCAAAAAAACAAAGACCCCCCCCCCCCA
Molecule: long non-coding RNA, 1088 nt
Organism: Cyprinus carpio carpio
Lineage: Eukaryota; Metazoa; Chordata; Actinopteri; Cypriniformes; Cyprinidae
Source: Ensembl